This 229-nucleotide unclassified non-coding RNA is filed under the name uncultured fungus. RNAcentral describes it as "sequence contains ITS1, 5.8S rRNA gene". The stretch from base 181 to 229 matches the Rfam family "5.8S ribosomal RNA", at positions 1 to 49 of the family's 154-position model. Lineage: Eukaryota; Fungi. The record is from RNAcentral.
UCUCCGUAGGUGAACCUGCGGAGGGAUCAUUACUGAGUGAGGGCUCACGCCCGACCUCCAACCCUUUGUGAACACAUCUUGUUGCUUCGGGGGCGACCCUGCCGGCACUUCGUCGCCGGGCGCCCCCGGAGGUCUCCAAACACUGCAUCUCUGCGUCGCAGUUUAAAACAAAUUAAACAAAACUUUCAACAACGUAUCUCUUGGUUCUGGCAUCGAUGAAGAGCGCAGC